GCCGACGUGGUGGAAUUGGUAGACACGCUAUCUUGAGGGGGUAGUGGCGAAAGUCGUGCGAGUUCAAGUCUCGCCGUCGGCACCA
This 85-nucleotide transfer RNA is filed under the name Oxalobacter formigenes. RNAcentral's name for it is "tRNA-Leu". It matches the Rfam family "tRNA". Rfam says of the family: Transfer RNA (tRNA) molecules are approximately 80 nucleotides in length. Their secondary structure includes four short double-helical elements and three loops (D, anti-codon, and T loops). RNAcentral also lists the same sequence under 5 other names. The record is from RNAcentral. Lineage: Bacteria; Pseudomonadati; Pseudomonadota; Betaproteobacteria; Burkholderiales; Oxalobacteraceae.